GAUGAACGCUGGCGGCGUGCCUAAUACAUGCAAGUCGAGCGAACAGACGAGGAGCUUGCUCCUCUGACGUUAGCGGCGGACGGGUGAGUAACACGUGGAUAACCUACCUAUAAGACUGGGAUAACUUCGGGAAACCGGAGCUAAUACCGGAUAAUAUAUUGAACCGCAUGGUUCAAUAGUGAAAGACGGUUUUGCUGUCACUUAUAGAUGGAUCCGCGCCGCAUUAGCUAGUUGGUAAGGUAACGGCUUACCAAGGCAACGAUGCGUAGCCGACCUGAGAGGGUGAUCGGCAAAACUGGAAAUGAGACACGGUCCAGACUCCGACGGGAGGCAGCAGUAGGGAAUCUUCCGCAAUGGGCGAAAGCCUGACGGAGCAACGCCGCGUGAGUGAGGAAGGUCUUCGGAUCGUAAAACUCUGUUAUUAGGGAAGAACAAAUGUGUAAGUAACUAUGCACGUCUUGACGGUACAUAAGCAGAAAGCCACGGCUAACUACGU
Molecule: ribosomal RNA, 496 nt
Filed under: uncultured bacterium
Lineage: Bacteria
Description: partial 16S ribosomal RNA
Rfam family: Bacterial small subunit ribosomal RNA
Source: RNAcentral